UCCUACAGUAUAUUUCAACUAAGUAAUUAUCAAGUACCUGUCUGGUGAUCGUCUUGACCAACGUCUUCUGUCAGAUUCUGUCCAAGGCAGUGCACAUGAACAGGAGGAGCACCACAGGAUCCCUCACCUGCGACCAGGAGGUGCCCUUGACAAGGCAAUCGUCCAGAUAGGGGAAUAUCUGGACCUCCCGCCACCUGAGAGCUUUCCCAUCAAACAGGAGAUCCUGCAUGGAAGACUGAGCCUCGCUGGACAGCCCAGAGAGAAGAAGCCAUGACGCCCAUCUCAUGGACACCGUGGAGGCCAUUGAUAGUGUGGCCAUGGCCGCAGCAUCCGAAGCUGCCUGCAGGGACGCCCUAGCGGCCGCUGUCCUUUCCUCUACUAAUGCCUUAAACUCCUUCCUAUCAUGUUUCUGGAGGGAGUCCUCAAACUUAGGCAGGGAGCCCCACUAAUGGCAUUCGUACUGGCCCAGGAGAGCCUGAUGGUUCGCCACUUAUAACUGGAAGCUCAAAGAUGAAUAAAUUUUCCUACCGAACGAGUCCAGUCUCUGAGAGUCUUUGUUCUUUGGAGUAAGGGCUGGCUGACCCUGCCAAUGCCUAUGGUUGACCAGCUCGACCAUCAAGGAGUUGGGCACCAGGUGAGUAUACAAGUACUCAUACCCUUAGGGGGUACAAAGUACUUAUGUUCCACCUUUUUUGAGAUGGGGGCCAACAAGGCCGGUGUUUGCCACAGGGCAUUAGAAAUCUUAGCCACCCCUUCGUGGAGAGGCAAGGCCAACCUUCCCGCUGCCGACGGGGACAAUAGGUUAAACAGGAAGUCCGAGGGCUCCUCCAUCUCCUCUGCCUGGAGGUGUAGGCUUACUGCCACUCUCUUUAAGGGUUCCUGGGGGGGCCCUGGAGUCCUCCUGCAGGACACAGGGGGACAGGGCCACAAUCGCCUCCUCCGGGAAGGGCAAAGAGGCCGGUGCAGUGCUCUGGGUGUCAGCUGGCACCAGAAGGUCCACCACCUGGUUGGACUCCAGGCAUGGUGCUGAGGACGUAUGUCCCACCAACUCCUUUCUCGGGGGUCUGGAGGGAGGUCGACGGUGCUUCCGAAGCUCCAGCCUUCGAGCAAGGUCCCACCAGGGGCUGCGCCGGAGGCCACAGUGCCCACUGGUACCAUUUGGCCGGCCACGAUGCUCAGUGCCAUUGCAACUGCUGUGGCACUGGCGGGACCAGCUGUCCAGGUUGGCUGGCCCGGAUCAUCAAAGGACGGCCACAGAUGGAAACCAGGCUGGCAUACGAUCCACUGCUGUCCCUGGACCAGGAGGAGCAGCGAUGUCAUGAUCUACGACAGCCACGGGACCAUGAUCUCGACAUAGAGGACUGGUACCAAUGGUAAUAGCUGCUCCACAAACGGCCUCGACAGGUGGACCCAGGACGGCGAGAUGCCAGCGAUCGACACCCGGGGCUGCAAUGUCUUGACGGAGACUUGGAGCGGGAGUCCAAACGGGAACGGCAUCAAUGAAUGUGCCGUGACCGACUGCAGUAUCCUCUCCAAGACGAAGACCGACGGCGAUGCCCACCGCAGUCCCAUCAAUGUUUGCUGCUUGAGGAUGAGCAGUACUGUGAAUCCUGGCCAGAUAAAACCCAGCCCGACAGUCUGGUCGGCGUCGAGGGUGAUCCACCUGGACUCUGACCCAAGCAGAUGCUGGGCGGUGAUCAGCAUCUGUAACGUUCCCUCGACCAAGACCAAUACGGGUCGGAGGCAACUGCGGAGAUCCCAGCAGUAGCCUGCUGCUGGAGCACGGGGCCAACAUCGGCAGCACUCCAGGCACCAGCAUGGAUAUGACAGCCCAGGCUGCCUGAGGGCUUCAGGGGUGGAAGGCAUCCGGACAUCCGGAGAGGCUUGCUCCGAAGAGGCCGGGCUACUCCGCUUAGCUUGAGUCGGAGGCCUGGGGCCUGGUGGGGAUUGAGGACUGCCCAACAUGAAUCUAGCCUCUGGCCCAGCUUUCCCUCAGUGCCGCUGCAAAGAGGGAGUCUUCUUGGGCCCCUUGGUGUGCCCCAUGGACGGGGAGCAUUGCCGACUGGUCAAUGGUACUGGAAAGUUGUCACGUACCAACACCACGGUGCCAGGUACUGGUUCGGAGUGGCAUGCCAGGGUCGGGGUCAGCCCCAACUACAUUAGGAUGACCCAGAGCCUAAUGUCCCUUUCUCUUUUGGUCUAAGGCUUAAACGACUUGCAAAUCUUGCACCUUUCGCUGAUAUGAGUUUCUCCCAAGCAGCGCAAAAAGUCUGUGUGCAGGUCACUUCUUAGCACAGAACGCCUGCAAGAGCCACACGACUUAAACCCCGGGGCACAGGGCAUGCCCCGGGCUCGGGCUCACUGAUUAACUAAACAACUAACUAACUACAGGUACUAACACUGAACGAAGGAACAGUUCUGGGGACAAGCUACAACGAAGCUGGAGCAGAGCAGUUCUAAUGCACCUUCACUGGCAGCAAGAAGGAACUGGGGGGGGGGGAGCGCAGCUCCCCUUAUACCGUGCCAGACAGGUGCCACGCCAAGGGUCGCGGAGGGUGCUCCCCCCCACGGGUACUGCUAGGGGAAAAACUUUCGGCACUGGUGCAUGUGGCGAGCAUACGUCUAUUGUGGAAUACACAUGAGCAAUCACUCGAAGAAGUAACCAUACCUGGGAAAUGGGCUGACCAAUAUGCAGAUAGGUUUUCUAUCAAAUCCAGGUUGACUAAUAGGAAGAGAACAGGAUCAGAGGACAGGAAUCGAACCGAAGCGAAGACCUGCACCCACGGGGGACAGAAACCAAGUUCUCAAAAGCCCUGGAUCAGCAGGAAUAAUGGUGUGCCAUAUGUGGCCAGCAGGGUCACUUCGACCAAGAAUGCUCACAACACCCACUGAGUGACAUUGCAGCGCUGGGAAUGCCAGCUGCACCUCAACCUCAUAGAGUUAGCUGUGUGACUGAACCUCCAGAGGGAGAAAGUCACACAGCCAGUUUGCAAAUGGCAAAAUUCACAAUCCAUAUCAUUGCAAACAUGUCUUGCUGCCACUUCAUAGGUGCAAAUCCAUCCAAUCAACAGUGGCAGCAGAAGGUAGUGGUUAAUGGAGAUAAAUUCACUGUAUAGAGAGAUAUGGGGCCAGCCAGGAUUAUAGUUUAGUCCGAUAUAGUGAAGCCCCAUCAAAUGCUGCCACAGUGUGAAAUGUGGGUUAAGGUUCCUGGUGUGAAUGCCUUCAUUCUACUUACAGCACAAAUUUCUACACAGACCCAGAAAGUGUAAGGUGUAUUUUCAGAUAUUCCAUAUUCGUUGCUUUUAGAAAAUGUUAUAGCGUUGAAAACAGAAAGAGUAAACGACUCUCUUAGUUAGCCUAAGACAGAGAAGACAGUAUGUAAGCAAAAAUGUAAAUAGAAUAGCUAACAAGGGAAGAGGGAGUCACAUUCCCCAUUAGAGUCCAAAACAGAGGUAGGUAAACUAUGGCACAGGUGCCGAAGGCGGCACGCGAGCCAA
Long non-coding RNA from Gopherus evgoodei (Goodes thornscrub tortoise), 3497 nucleotides. RefSeq lists it as uncharacterized. The record is from RefSeq and is a predicted model, not a curated record. Lineage: Eukaryota; Metazoa; Chordata; Testudines; Testudinidae. The transcript has 3 exons.